RNAcentral lists this long non-coding RNA (279 nucleotides) under Rattus norvegicus (Norway rat). Its description in RNAcentral is "long non-coding RNA NONRATT019015". The record is from RNAcentral. Lineage: Eukaryota; Metazoa; Chordata; Mammalia; Rodentia; Muridae.
AGUCCACCCAGAAAGCUCAGAAGGCUAAAUGAAUAUUAUCCCUAACACCUGCCACCCUAGUCUUAAUUAGUGGUGGAAGAACGGUUUCAGAAGUGUUUGUCUCAAUUGGCCUUUUAAGUUUAAUAGUAAAAGACUGGUUAAUGAUAACAAUGCAUCGUAAAACCGUCAGAAGGAAAGAAUGUGUUGUGGGCCAAUUUUUUUGGUGUGUGGCAGUUUUAAGUUAUUAGUUUUCAAAAUCAGUACUUUUAAAUGGAAACAACUUGACCAAAAAUCUGUCAC